CUAGAGGAGACUGAGAGGGACUAAAAUAUUUACUAUAAGCAGUUUGGUAUAAGAGUUCUCAUAGGUAUAAUUAGGAUGAUGGGUAAUAUAGCUUGAAACUUGUAAUUAGUGAUUAUUAUUAUUGAUAAUAGAAGAUGACAUGCCUGUAGAUGCAGCCCUAUUGAGAGGAUGAACCACACAAAUAUUAUUAUCUUGUGUGUUUACUUUAUUUUUUUUUGUAGUUUACAUAUUUCUGUGGUGUAUAACACCAUCUACUUUAUGCUUUAUAAUGAAUACCCAGUUGCUUCCCACUGGUUUCUUUCCUGAUGGAAGAGAAACAAGAUCCCAUGUCUCAUUUUUUGCCAAUGCUAUUAUCUCUUUACCGUAGUUUCCUUCCAUUUUGGAUCAAGACAUA
Molecule: unclassified non-coding RNA, 394 nt
Filed under: Hevea brasiliensis (rubber tree)
Lineage: Eukaryota; Viridiplantae; Streptophyta; Magnoliopsida; Malpighiales; Euphorbiaceae
Source: RNAcentral